This 75-nucleotide transfer RNA is filed under the name Aeromonas phage Ah1. Its description in RNAcentral is "tRNA-Trp". It matches the Rfam family "tRNA". From Rfam's summary of the family: Transfer RNA (tRNA) molecules are approximately 80 nucleotides in length. Lineage: Duplodnaviria; Heunggongvirae; Uroviricota; Caudoviricetes; Pantevenvirales; Straboviridae. The record is from RNAcentral.
AGGGCGUUAGUAUAACGGUAUUAUGCCGGUCUCCAAAACCGCGCGAUGUGAGUUCGAGUCUCCCGCGCCCUGCCA